Molecule: ribosomal RNA, 427 nt
Filed under: uncultured Chlamydiales bacterium
Lineage: Bacteria; Pseudomonadati; Chlamydiota; Chlamydiia; Chlamydiales
Description: partial 16S ribosomal RNA
Rfam family: Bacterial small subunit ribosomal RNA
Source: RNAcentral
UCGAGAAUAUUUCGCAAUGGGCGGAAGCCUGACGAAGCGACGCCGUGUGAAUGAAGAAGGCCUUCGGGUUGUAAAGUUCUGUCGUCUAGGAACAAGGGUAACACAGGAAUAUAGUGUUAUUUUGAGAGUACUAGGAGAGGAAGCACCGGCUAACUCCGUGCCAGCAGCUGCGGUAAUACGGAGGGUGCAAGCGUUAGUCGGAAUUACUGGGCGUAAAGGGUGCGUAGGCGGGAUUAUAAGUCAGACGUGAAAUUUCGGGGCUCAACCUCGGAGCGGCAUCUGAAACUGUAAUUCUAGCGGAAUGGCGGAGGAAACGGAAUUCCACGUGUAGCGGUGAAAUGCGUAGAUAUGUGGAAGAACACCUGUGGCGAAAGCGGUUUUCUAGCCUACUCCAGACGCUGAGGCACGAAAGCUAGGGGAGCAAACA